AACGCGUGGGAAUCUACCCAUCCCUACGGAACAACUCCGGGAAACUGGAGCUAAUACCGUAUACGCCCUUCGGGGGAAAGAUUUAUCGGGGAUGGAUGAGCCCGCGUUGGAUUAGCUAGUUGGUGGGGUAAAGGCCUACCAAGGCGACGAUCCAUAGCUGGUCUGAGAGGAUGAUCAGCCACAUUGGGACUGAGACACGGCCCAAACUCCUACGGGAGGCAGCAGUGGGGAAUAUUGGACAAUGGGCGCAAGCCUGAUCCAGCCAUGCCGCGUGAGUGAUGAAGGUCUUAGGAUUGUAAAGCUCUUUCACCGGAGAAGAUAAUGACGGUAUCCGGAGAAGAAGCCCCGGCUAACUUCGUGCCAGCAGCCGCGGUAAUACGAAGGGGGCUAGCGUUGUUCGGAAUUACUGGGCGUAAAGCGCACGUAGGCGGAUAUUUAAGUCAGGGGUGAAAUCCCAGAGCUCAACUCUGGAACUGCCUUUGAUACUGGGUAUCUUGAGUAUGGAAGAGGUAAGUGGAAUUGCGAGUGUAGAGGUGAAAUUCGUAGAUAUUCGCAGGAACACCAGUGGCGAAGGCGGCUUACUGGUCCAUUACUGACGCUGAGGUGCGAAA
This 611-nucleotide ribosomal RNA is filed under the name Neorhizobium galegae. Its description in RNAcentral is "bacterial SSU rRNA". It matches the Rfam family "Bacterial small subunit ribosomal RNA", at positions 112 to 758 of the family's 1533-position model. The record is from RNAcentral. Lineage: Bacteria; Pseudomonadati; Pseudomonadota; Alphaproteobacteria; Hyphomicrobiales; Rhizobiaceae.